UUCACAUACAUAUUUAUGCAGCUAAUCGACGUCAUUGACAGGCUAUGACGGCAUCCUUAUUCGUCGCCACCGGUGUUUUAGCUAGCAAAACGGUGUGGCCGAUUAGGAGUGACACGAUAAUGACAACGUGCACAACUAUUAGAGGACACACAGGAAAAAUAAGAAUGGUCUCUUGGCAGCCACCCUUCCACUGGGAUCAUUUCUGAUGAGGCAUCCCCAAACACCAGAUGGAUCAACUGAAGAGCCAUGUGCAUCAUUCAGACCCAUGGUUGCAGACCAAUCCCUCACUUCCCCUUUGGCACAUGGUGAUGUGUGGCACAAUUCGUAAUAUGAGUGGCCCAUCUCAGAGCAGCAGAGCAAGGUCCGUGAGGGAGCAAACCAUUUUUAAUGGAACUAAAAUGCCCUCAAGCAGGCUUUAUAAUUGGACAAUUGGAGAAUGAUAUAAAUGAUAACACUUAAACAAUAAAA
Long non-coding RNA from Oreochromis niloticus (Nile tilapia), 468 nucleotides. RefSeq lists it as uncharacterized. The transcript has 3 exons. The record is from RefSeq and is a predicted model, not a curated record. Lineage: Eukaryota; Metazoa; Chordata; Actinopteri; Cichliformes; Cichlidae.